This 476-nucleotide ribosomal RNA is filed under the name uncultured organism. RNAcentral describes it as "partial 16S ribosomal RNA". It matches the Rfam family "Bacterial small subunit ribosomal RNA", at positions 331 to 799 of the family's 1533-position model. The record is from RNAcentral.
GUACACUCCUGCGGGAGGCAGCAGUGGGGAAUUUUGGACAAUGGGCGAAAGCCUGAUCCAGCAAUGCCGCGUGAGUGAAGAAGGCCUUCGGGUUGUAAAGCUCUUUUGUCAGGGAAGAAACGGUGAAAGCUAAUAUCUUUUGCUAAUGACGGUACCUGAAGAAUAAGCACCGGCUAACUACGUGCCAGCAGCCGCGGUAAUACGUAGGGUGCAAGCGUUAAUCGGAAUUACUGGGCGUAAAGCGUGCGCAGGCGGUUUUGUAAGUCUGAUGUGAAAUCCCCGGGCUCAACCUGGGAUUGCAUUGGAGACUGCAAGGCUAGAAUCUGGCAGAGGGGGGUAGAAUUCCACGUGUAGCAGUGAAAUGCGUAGAUAUGUGGAGGAACACCGAUGGCGAAGGCAGCCCCCUGGGUCAAGAUUGACGCUCAUGCACGAAAGCGUGGGGAGCAAACAGGAUUAGAUACCCGAGUAGUCCCAUG